RNAcentral lists this small RNA (132 nucleotides) under Escherichia coli. RNAcentral describes it as "RtT sRNA". It matches the Rfam family "RtT RNA". From Rfam's summary of the family: This family represents a bacterial cis-regulatory element known as RtT RNA. RNAcentral also lists the same sequence under 2 other names. Lineage: Bacteria; Pseudomonadati; Pseudomonadota; Gammaproteobacteria; Enterobacterales; Enterobacteriaceae. The record is from RNAcentral.
AUUCUGCCCAAGCGGGGAAGGAUGAGAAGCCUCGACCAAGGUUCGACUCGAGCGCCAGCGAGAGAGCGUUGCCGCAGGCAACGACCCGAAGGGCGAAGCGCGCAGCGCUGAGUAAUCCUUCCCCCACCACCA